Molecule: transfer RNA, 69 nt
Filed under: Phyllodytes luteolus (yellow heart-tongued frog)
Lineage: Eukaryota; Metazoa; Chordata; Amphibia; Anura; Hylidae
Description: tRNA-Val
Rfam family: tRNA
About the family: Transfer RNA (tRNA) molecules are approximately 80 nucleotides in length.
Source: RNAcentral
CAAAAUAUAGCUUAAUUAAAGCACCUCGUUUACACCAAGAAGUUAUCUGUGCAAUUCAGAUUAUUUUGA